Molecule: ribosomal RNA, 303 nt
Filed under: uncultured soil bacterium
Lineage: Bacteria
Description: bacterial SSU rRNA
Rfam family: Bacterial small subunit ribosomal RNA
Source: RNAcentral
AGAUUGAACGCUGGCGGCAGGCCUAACACAUGCAAGUCGAGCGGUAGAGAGGUGCUUGCAUCUCUUGAGAGCGGCGGACGGGUGAGUAAUGCCUAGGAAUCUGCCUAGUGGUGGGGGAUAACGUUCGGAAACGGACGCUAAUACCGCAUACGUCCUACGGGAGAAAGCGGGGGACCUUCGGGCCUCGCGCCAUUAGAUGAGCCUAGGUCGGAUUAGCUAGUUGGUGAGGUAAUGGCUCACCAAGGCGACGAUCCGUAACUGGUCUGGAGAGGAUGAUCAGUCACACUGGAACUGAGACACGGU